RNAcentral lists this ribosomal RNA (48 nucleotides) under Caamembeca formosa. RNAcentral's name for it is "partial 26S ribosomal RNA". The record is from RNAcentral. Lineage: Eukaryota; Viridiplantae; Streptophyta; Magnoliopsida; Fabales; Polygalaceae.
GGUCAGGCGGGAGCACCUGCUGAGUUUAAGCAUAUCAUUAAGCGGAGG